This 61-nucleotide transfer RNA is filed under the name uncultured Prevotella sp. It matches the Rfam family "tRNA", at positions 7 to 64 of the family's 71-position model. Rfam says of the family: Transfer RNA (tRNA) molecules are approximately 80 nucleotides in length. Lineage: Bacteria; Pseudomonadati; Bacteroidota; Bacteroidia; Bacteroidales; Prevotellaceae. RNAcentral also lists the same sequence under 1 other name. The record is from RNAcentral.
UUAGCUCAGUUGGUUAGAGCACCUGACUGUUAAUCAGGGGGUCGAAGGUUCAAGUCCUUCA